This 1112-nucleotide unclassified non-coding RNA is filed under the name Hevea brasiliensis (rubber tree). The record is from RNAcentral. Lineage: Eukaryota; Viridiplantae; Streptophyta; Magnoliopsida; Malpighiales; Euphorbiaceae.
GAUUGGAAAUGUGAAAAUACUCCUUAUUCUUCAUGUUGCAUUCCUUUACAGAAGCUUUGUUGGUUUCAAAAAUUUCAGUUCCAUUGCAGGUAGAUGUUACUAGAAAAAUUUGUAUGCCUAAUAUUUCCUGCUUGUUUUGAAUCUCUAUUUAAGUGAGACUAAUCCAUAUUGUCACAAUAGAUCAUUCGAUCAAUUAUGUUGUUCUACCUGGAACAUCUUUGCCUUUCUUGAAUGAAAAUGUGAACAUACUCAUUAUUCUUCCUCUUCUUUACCUUUACUGUAGCCUUUUUUUCCCUCAAAAUUUCAGUUUCAUUGCAAGUUCCUUGUGCAUGAAUAAUUUUUCUAUUUGAGUUGGUGUUCCUGCUUGUUUUGAAUGUGUAUUCAUGGGGUAAAUUUCAUCCACCAUCCCUGAUCAACAUUAACAUCCUUAAACUUCAAUUUGUCUCUGAAAACUCCUUGAUCUUUUAUUUGAAUCUCAUGAAGCUCCUUUUUGCUUAAAUCCAUUAAUUCCUCGGAUGGAAUAUCCACCUGGUAUCCAUGUCCUCUUAAUGCUAAUGUGAAUUUUCUCUUUCGUCAUUUCUUGAUUCUCUCUUUCAUCCCUCAUCAAACCAAACCAAACUCAAGCUUUUCUUCGAAAAAUGAAUCCCAACAAACCCCAUGGAACCAAAUUAGUCCCGGUUCCUUCCUAUUCCAACUUUUCUCCCCAAAUCUGUCAAAAUAUUAUUGAAUUUAUUUGUAUCUCUAAAAGCAUCAUUAACUCAAAAUCUAAAAUUACCCUAACAGACAACAACACAUUACAAGAUGAACGCUAAUUCUAAUUGCUAGUUGAAGCAAAACCCAGUAGGCAAAUCUGCCCUAAAGCCAAUAUUCCUUUAUGUAUGUUUUUUGUCACCGCAAUUUGAAGCUUCCAAUGAAGAAAAUGCUGCAAGCAUGAAAGAAUUCAAAGUUUGAGUGGGCUGGGUGUUUAAAGCUGUGAAGUGGAUAGUAUUAAUAAGAAUGAUUUUAUAUGAUUUUGAAAAGAAAGAGAGUGAGAGAAACAAAAGAGAGUUUUGUUGUUAUGGAAGGAAAAUGAGAUCAGAGAGGAAAGGGGGUAAAGUGAAAGGAUGGGGAAA